UGGGGAAUAUUGCACAAUGGGCGCAAGCCUGAUGCAGCCAUGCCGCGUGUGUGAAGAAGGCCUUCGGGUUGUAAAGCACUUUCAGCGAGGAGGAAGGUGGUGAACUUAAUACGUUCAUCAAUUGACGUUACUCGCAGAGAAGCACCGGCUAACUCCGUGCCAGCAGCCGCGGUAAUACGGAGGGUGCAAGCGUUAAUCGGAAUUACUGGGCGUAAAGCGCACGCAGGCGGUUUGUUAAGUCAGAUGUGAAAUCCCCGGGCUCAACCUGGGAACUGCAUUUGAAACUGGCAAGCUAGAGUCUCGUAGAGGGGGGUAGAAUUCCAGGUGUAGCGGUGAAAUGCGUAGAGAUCUGGAGGAAUACCGGUGGCGAAGGCGGCCCCCUGGACGAAGACUGACGCUCAGGUGCG
This 407-nucleotide ribosomal RNA is filed under the name uncultured bacterium. RNAcentral describes it as "partial 16S ribosomal RNA". It matches the Rfam family "Bacterial small subunit ribosomal RNA", at positions 355 to 755 of the family's 1533-position model. The record is from RNAcentral.